GCCUUCCCAGCUCCAGUGGGUCCCUCUCCUCGAGGCACCUCUUGGUGCAGUUCAGUGUUCCUGAGAAGUAGCUGACAAAUUCCCAAAUGUAGUGUGGCGAGAGCUUAAUCAGUUCUCAUGUCCAUCAGCAGAACGCUUCCCCAAUCUGAGCUGCAUCUGCUUCUGCCAAGGACUCCCUGGCAGCCCCAAAGGUGGCUUCAGGAAAUCCGGUCCAUGGAGGAACAGCAUGACUUGCAGGAGCACUGCACAGAUGCAGGUUGGGCUCAGAACCAGCAGGCAAAAUACAGCAUGCAGCCUGAAAGCAUUUCAGAGCUUCAAUCUGCACAUGUCCUUCUGGGAGGAGAGCUGCCUGCACUGCAGUCCCCGAGGAGUUC
Molecule: long non-coding RNA, 374 nt
Filed under: Gallus gallus (chicken)
Lineage: Eukaryota; Metazoa; Chordata; Aves; Galliformes; Phasianidae
Description: lncRNA (ENSGALG00010017889.1)
Source: RNAcentral